Molecule: transfer RNA, 64 nt
Filed under: Orohermes crepusculus
Lineage: Eukaryota; Metazoa; Arthropoda; Insecta; Megaloptera; Corydalidae
Description: tRNA-Asn
Source: RNAcentral
UUAACCGAAACCAAAUUAGAGGUAUAUUACUGUUAAUAAUAAAAAUGAAUAAAUUCCGGUUAAA